GAGGUACAGGGUCAUAGUUUACUCAAUGAUGAGUCCGUGGCGAACCGUUCGGCACAUCACUAUUCCUAGCCUAUAGCUUCUCUUUAAAUGAAAGAAAAAAUUGUAUUGCUAAUGCUUAGUUAUAUAUCUGACAUAGAUCCGUCUCAUUAGAGAUUUUGUUUUAAACCUGAAAAGAAGUCCUGAAAACCUGAAAAGAGUCCCCUAGUGAG
Non-coding RNA from Pelobates cultripes (western spadefoot toad), 209 nucleotides. Lineage: Eukaryota; Metazoa; Chordata; Amphibia; Anura; Pelobatidae. The record is from the annotation of a GenBank genome assembly.